Long non-coding RNA from Pezoporus occidentalis (night parrot), 736 nucleotides. RefSeq lists it as uncharacterized. Lineage: Eukaryota; Metazoa; Chordata; Aves; Psittaciformes; Psittacidae. The transcript is spliced from 4 exons. The record is from RefSeq and is a predicted model, not a curated record.
UGGAGGAGUCUAUCCAUUCACUAAGCAUGGAGUUUAAGAAAAUCCUUUUUAAAACCAUAUCACCAUUAAGAAUACUUGUUUGGGGUUCUAAUUAUCACCAAAUUUAGAUCAAAUCUAUUCAAAAAUAAACCAAGGAAUUUAAAUGGAGUUGCUUUUUUAAAACUGUGCAAUGCACAGGCACAUUAGGAACCUCAAAAUGAAAAUAAUUCUUACCUUAUAUGCGCAGGGUUUUGAUUUAUAUUUUUUCUUUUUUUUUUCUUUUGUGAUCUGAGGUGUUGUUUUCUUCCAUUAGUAACUGUUGCAGCUGCUGACAGUCCUACUUAAGAUCCUUGAUGGUAGCACUUCACCAUCGAAGUCACUGACACCUCCAUAUUUCCCUCAGAAUGACACAAGGAUACAGAUCAAGAUUUGAAAUUAAAUCCUCUUGUGAUUCUACUGUCCUGUCCUGAGGAAAGAAAUACAAAUGUCCAAGUAUUAACUGCUGACCUCUGUCACCCCUUAAUUAUGCAUUCUUGUAUCUUCUUUAAUACUUCCCUCGCAUAUCAAACUCCUAUUGUCGAGAUCUUGUCAUUAGAUGCUUCACAGGUAGAAAAUCAAAAGACAGUUGGCUUGAAGGCAAGAUUACAAAGAGACCUUGCAACACUGAAUCCCACACCAGCCUUCUGUGAAGCAUCUGAGAAGACAGAAUGGCCAGACUACGUGUUUCAAGGAAGACCAAACACAGACCAGGCACACG